RNAcentral lists this ribosomal RNA (253 nucleotides) under uncultured bacterium. RNAcentral describes it as "partial 16S ribosomal RNA". It matches the Rfam family "Bacterial small subunit ribosomal RNA", at positions 524 to 776 of the family's 1533-position model. The record is from RNAcentral.
UACGGGGGGGGCAAGCGUUGUUCGGAAUUACUGGGCGUAAAGGGCUCGUAGGCGGCCAACUAAGUCAGACGUGAAAUCCCUCGGCUUAACCGGGGAACUGCGUCUGAUACUGGAUGGCUUGAGGUUGGGAGAGGGAUGCGGAAUUCCAGGUGUAGCGGUGAAAUGCGUAGAUAUCAGGAGGAACACCUGUGGCGAAAGCGGCGCACUGGACCACAACUGACGCUGAGGCGCGAAAGCUAGGGGAGCAAACAGG